This 45-nucleotide non-coding RNA is filed under the name Trichobilharzia regenti. The record is from RNAcentral. Lineage: Eukaryota; Metazoa; Platyhelminthes; Trematoda; Strigeidida; Schistosomatidae.
AUUCAGACGACGAGUCUCAAAUAGGACGAAGUGCGCAUCUUAGAU